RNAcentral lists this ribosomal RNA (158 nucleotides) under Pleosporales sp. r237. Its description in RNAcentral is "5.8S ribosomal RNA". It matches the Rfam family "5.8S ribosomal RNA". From Rfam's summary of the family: 5.8S ribosomal RNA (5.8S rRNA) is a component of the large subunit of the eukaryotic ribosome. It is transcribed by RNA polymerase I as part of the 45S precursor that also contains 18S and 28S rRNA. Functionally, it is thought that 5.8S rRNA may be involved in ribosome translocation. The record is from RNAcentral. Lineage: Eukaryota; Fungi; Ascomycota; Dothideomycetes; Pleosporales.
CAACUUUCAACAAUGGAUCUCUUGGCUAUGGCAUCGAUGAAGAACGCAGCGAAAUGCGAUAAGUAGUGUGAAGAGCAGAAUUCAUCGAAUCAUCGAAUCUUUGACCGCACAUCGCGCCCUUCGGUAUUGGGCGGGGCAUGCCUGUUCGAGUGUCAUCU